GGGGUUGCAUGGUCGGGGUUGUGGGACUUUUCGUCGUGUUCUGCCGAGCACGGAACGUUACAGCGCAUCAUAGACGAACAGGUUUGAAUGCCUGGCCAGAGCGGGUGCGAGCCCCGUAGUCGAAAUGGUGUUAUGGCGUGGAGAGUAUCCCAAGUAGCACGGGGCCCGAGAAAUCCCGUGUGAAUCUGUCAGGACCACCUGAUAAGCCUAAAUACUCCCAGAUGACCGAUAGCGGACAAGUACCGUGAGGGAAAGGUGAAAAGUACCCCGGGAGGGGAGUGAAAUAGUACCUGAAACCGUUUGCUUACAAACCGUCGGAGCCUCCUUGUUGGGGUGACGGCGUGCCUUUUGAAGAAUGAGCCUGCGAGUUAGUGCUCUGUGGCGAGGUUAACCCGUGUGGGGCAGCCGUAGCGAAAGCGAGUCCGAAUAGGGCGUUGUGAGUCGCAGGGUCUAGACCCGAAGCGAAGUGAUCUAUCCAUGGCCAGGUUGAAGCGACGGUAAGACGUCGUGGAGGACCGAACCCACUUCAGUUGAAAAUGGAGGGGAUGAGCUGUGGAUAGGGGUGAAAGGCCAAUCAAACUUCGUGAUAGCUGGUUCUCUCCGAAAUGCAUUUAGGUGCAGCGUUGCGUGUUUCUUGCCGGAGGUAGAGCUACUGGAUGGCCGAUGGGGCCCAAAAGCUUACUGACGUCAGCCAAACUCCGAAUGCCGGUAAGUGAGAGCGCAGCAGUGAGACUGUGGGGGAUAAGCUUCAUAGUCGAGAGGGAAACAACCCAGACCACCAACUAAGGUCCCUGAGCGCGUGCUAAGUGGGAAAGGAUGUGGAGUUGCACAGACAACCAGGAGGUUGGCUUAGAAGCAGCCACCCUUGAAAGAGUGCGUAAUAGCUCACUGGUCAAGUGAUUCCGCGCCGACAAUGUAACGGGGCUCAAGCACGCCACCGAAGUUGUGGCAUUGACAUUAGUGGUAGGCCUUCGUGGUCCAGCCGUGUUGAUGGGUAGGAGAGCGUCGUGUGGCGAGUGAAGCGGCGGUGUGAACCAGCCGUGGACGCCACACGAGUGAGAAUGCAGGCAUGAGUAGCGAAAGACGGGUGAGAAACCCGUCCUCCGGAAGACCAAGGGUUCCAGGGUCAAGCUAAUCUUCCCUGGGUAAGUCGGGACCUAAGGCGAGGCCGACAGGCGUAGUCGAUGGACAACGGGUUGAUAUUCCCGUACCGGCGAAGAACCGCCCA
Molecule: ribosomal RNA, 1228 nt
Filed under: Rathayibacter rathayi
Lineage: Bacteria; Bacillati; Actinomycetota; Actinomycetes; Micrococcales; Microbacteriaceae
Description: bacterial LSU rRNA
Rfam family: Bacterial large subunit ribosomal RNA
Source: RNAcentral